UACAGAGGGUGCGAGCGUUGUUCGGAAUUAUUGGGCGUAAAGGGCGCGUAGGCGGUGCGGUAAGUCACCUGUGAAAUCUCCUGGCUCAACUGGGAGCUUGCAGGCGAAACUGCCGUGCUGGAGUGUGGGAGAGGUGAGUGGAAUUCCCGGUGUAGCGGUGAAAUGCGUAGAUAUCAGGAGGAACACCGGUGGUGUAAACGGCUUUCUGGACCAUAACUGACGCUGAGGCACGAAAGCGUGGGUAGCAAACAGG
RNAcentral lists this ribosomal RNA (253 nucleotides) under uncultured bacterium. RNAcentral's name for it is "partial 16S ribosomal RNA". It matches the Rfam family "Bacterial small subunit ribosomal RNA", at positions 524 to 776 of the family's 1533-position model. The record is from RNAcentral.